RNAcentral lists this ribosomal RNA (421 nucleotides) under uncultured eukaryote. RNAcentral's name for it is "SSU rRNA". It matches the Rfam family "Eukaryotic small subunit ribosomal RNA", at positions 592 to 1018 of the family's 1831-position model. The record is from RNAcentral.
CAAUAGCGUAUAUUAAAGUUGUUGCGGUAAAAAAGCUCGUAGUUGGAUUUCUGUUGAGGGUGACCGGUCCGCACCAUGUGCGCGCAUCUGGUUCAGCCUCGGCAUCCUCUCGAUAGACGUUUCUGCGCUUUGUUGCGUGGAGCGGAUUUCGGGACUUUUACUUUGAGGAAAUUAGAGUGUUCACGGCAGGCUAUCGCCAGAAUACAUUAGCAUGGAAUAAUACUAUAGGAUCUUGAGCCUAUUUUGUUGGUUUCUAGACUUGAGAUAAUGAUUAAUAGGGACAAUUGGGGGCAUUCGUAUCAACACGUCAGAGGUGGAAUUCUUGGAUUGUGUUGCGACGAACUACUGCGAAAGCAUUUGCCAAGGAUGUUUUCAUUGAUCAAGAACGAAAGUAAGGGGAUCGAAGACGAUCAGAUACCAU